UAUUGUGCGAUGAAUAGGAGUAUUAGUAAUAAUUAUAUCUUAAAGAGAGCUGUUGUUUGGUGUAAAAUAGUGUUAUAUUAUUAUGAACUUGCCUAGGAGCUUACUUGUUAAAAGCAAGUACGGUAAACCCGUUAAAAUAAUAAGUGAGAAGGAUAAAUUUGUUUUUUAUCUCUUCUAAUUAAGAGUGGUACCACGGAAAUUAUGCUUUCGUCUCUUUG
Molecule: non-coding RNA, 218 nt
Filed under: Clostridium beijerinckii
Lineage: Bacteria; Bacillati; Bacillota; Clostridia; Eubacteriales; Clostridiaceae
Description: T-box
Rfam family: T-box leader
About the family: Uncharged tRNA acts as the effector for transcription antitermination of genes in the T-box leader family. T-boxes are found upstream of many aminoacyl-tRNA synthetase genes and some amino acid biosynthetic genes usually in Gram-positive bacteria.
Source: RNAcentral